Non-coding RNA from Potamilus streckersoni, 72 nucleotides. The record is from the annotation of a GenBank genome assembly. NCBI's taxonomy places the organism in Eukaryota, Metazoa, Mollusca, Bivalvia, Unionida, Unionidae.
GACCGGUAGCAUAGUGGUUAGAGCAUCUGUUUCGGAUGCGGGUGGUCGCGUGUUUGAACCCCGGCCGAGUCA